CGAGUACGACCCGUUACGACGGGGAAGUGUCUGAUGUCAGGCUUCCAAGAAAAGCCCGAACCACGUUAAUUCAAAUUGGCCCGUACCCUAAACCGACACAGGUGGGAAGGUAGAGUAUACCCAGGGGCGCGAGAUAACUCUCUCUAAGGAACUCGGCAAAAUGGCCCCGUAACUUCGGGAGAAGGGGUGCCACCGAGAGGUGGUCGCAGUGAAGAGUCCCAGGCGACUGUUUACCAAAAACACAGGUCUCCGCUAAGUCGCAAGACGAUGUAUGGGGGCUGACGCCUGCCCAGUGCCGGAAGGUUAAGGAAGUUGGUCAGGGAGCAAUCCUGAAGCUAGCGACUGAAGCCCCGGUGAACGGCGGCCGUAACUAUAACGGUCCUAAGGUAGCGAAAUUCCUUGUCGGGUAAGUUCCGACCCGCACGAAAGGCGUAACGAUCUGGGAGCUGUCUCGGAGAGAGGCUCGGCGAAAUAGGAAUGUCUGUGAAGAUACGGACUACCUGCACCCGGACAGAAAGACCCUAUGAAGCUUUACUGUAGCUUGGUAUUGGGUUCGGGCUUUGAUUGCGCAGGAUAGGUGGGAGACUAUGAGAUAGCUCUUGUGGGAGUUAUGGAGUCACUGGUGAGAUACCACUCUAUCAAGGCUAGAAUUCUAACUUUGACCCGUUAUCCGGGCAGAGAACAGUAUCAGGUGGGCAGUUUGACUGGGGCGGUCGCCACCUAAAUGGUAACGGAGGCGCGCAAAGGUUCCCUCAGGCUGGUUGGAAAUCAGCCAUUGAGUGUAAAGGCAUAAGGGAGCUUGACUGCGAGACUGACAAGUCGAGCAGUUACGAAAGUAGGCCUUAGUGAUCCGACGGUUCCGCGUGGAAGGGCCGUCGCUCAACGGAUAAAAGUUACUCUAAGGAUAACAGGCUGAUCUCCCCCAAGAGUUCACAUCGACGGGGAGGUUUGGCACCUCGAUGUCGGCUCAUCGCAACCUGGGGCUGUAGUCGGUCCCAAGGGUUGGGCUGUUCGCCCAUUAAAGCGGUACGUGAGCUGGGUUCAGAACGUCGUGAGACAGUUCGGUCCAUAUCCGGUGCAGGCGUAGGAACAUUGAGAGGAGUCUUCCUUAGUACGAGAGGACCGGGAAGAACGCACCGCUGGUGUACCUGUUAUCGUGCCAACGGUAAGCGCAGGGUAGCCAAGUGCGGAGAGGAUAACCGCUGAAAGCAUCUAAGUGGGAAGCCCACCUCAAGAUGAGUGUUCCCAUGGCAAAAGCCAGUAAGGUCACGGGUAGACCACCCGUUAAUAGGCGCUAGAUGGAAGUCCAGCAAUGGAUGUAGUCGAGGCGUACUAACAGACC
Molecule: ribosomal RNA, 1342 nt
Filed under: metagenome
Description: bacterial LSU rRNA
Rfam family: Bacterial large subunit ribosomal RNA
Source: RNAcentral